UAUGUAAAUUUCCCAACAAAGAAAUCUAUAAAAAAAAGUAUGUGGCAACGGUCGUUCCACUCUCCUGCUCAAUUUAAUAUCUUCGUUCUCUUUUCUCCUCCAGUUAAGCGUGUUUUCAAUUUCAAAAUCAUUUUAAUUAACGAUGAACUUUAAAUUGCAGAGGAAACAUGAAGAAGAUCAUGAGGCACCACAUACCCCCAAGAGCGUGGGGCUGGUCAUCGGUGUAACGGGCAUAGUAGGCAACAGCCUAGCUCGAAUCCUCCCACAAUCAGACACACCCGGCGGUCCAUGGAAGGUCUACGGAGUCGCACGCCGUCCUCGCCCGCAUUGGAACAGCGACUACCCCAUGGAGUACAUCCAAUGCGACAUCUCGGACCCAAACGACACCGUAUCCAAGCUCUCCGGAUUAACUGACGUCACCCACAUCUUUUAUGUCACUUGGGCCAGCCGAUCCACGGAGCCCCAAAAUUGUGAGGUAAACGCCGCCAUGAUCCGCAACGUGCUACGUGUCGUCAUCACGAACGCGCCAAACCUCUGCCACGUGUGUUUGCAGACAGGGACCAAACACUACUUCGGACCCUACGAGUCGUUCGGCAAACUGGAGCCUCGGGAGCCGCCUUGGUUGGAGGAUCUGCCCCGACUGAACGCCCCGAACUUCUACUACGCCCAGGAGGACGUGUUGUUUGAAGAGGUGGGGAAGAAAGAGGAGUUGAAUAUUACAUGGUCGGUGCACCGACCGGGGCCUAUUUUCGGCUUUUCGCCGUACAGCUUGGUCAACAUUGUAGCCAUGCUGAGUGUGUACGCUUCUAUAUGUAAGCACGAGAAGAAACCUUUGAGAUUUCCUGGAAGCAAAGAGGCCUGGAAUUGUUACUCGGACGUUUCGGAUGCGGAUUUGAUCGCGGAGCAGCAGAUAUGGGCGGCGUUUGACCCGAAUGCGAAAAACGAAGCGUUUAAUGUGAACAAUGGGGAUGUUUUUAAGUGGAAGCAGUUUUGGACAGUGUUGGCUGAGCAAUUUGAGAUUGGGGAGUACGGGUUUGAUGAGGAGGGUGGGGGUUUUAGUUUGUUGGACAUGAUGAAGGAGAAGGAGGGUGUGUGGGAGGAGAUAGUGAGGGAGAACCAGCUGGAGCCCACAAAGUUGGAGGAGAUAGGGUGGUGGCUGCUGGAUUUGGUUUUCAGUGGGGAAGGUCUCAUGACUAGCAUGAAUAAGAGUAAAGAGCAUGGGUUUUUGGGGUUCAGAAACUCCAAGAAGUCCUUUGUUUCAUGGAUUAAUAAAAACAAAGCUUUCAAGAUUAGGAAACAUGAAGAAGAUCAUGAGGCACCACGCAGCCCCAAGAGCGUGGGGCUGGUCUUCGGUGUAACGGACAUAGUGGGCAACAGCCUAGCUCGAAUCCUCCCACUCUCAGACACACCCGGCAGUCCAUGGAAGGUCUACGGAGUCGCACGCCGUCCUCGCCCGCACUGGAACACCGACUACCCCAUGGAGUACAUCCAAUGCGACAUCUCAGACCCAAACGACACCGUAUCCAAGCUCUCCAGAUUAACUGACGUCUUUUAUGUCACUUGGGCCAGCCGAUCCACGGAGCCCCAAAACUGCGAGGCAAACGCCGCCAUGAUCCGCAACGUGCUACGUGUCGUCAUCACGAACGCGCCAAACCUCUGCCACGUGUGUUUGCAGACAGGGACCAAACACUACUUCGGACUCUACUAGUCGUUCGGCAAACUGGAGCCCCAGGAGCCGCCUUGUUUGGAGGAUCUGCCCCGACGGAACGCCCCGAACUUCUACUACGUCCUGGAGGAGCUGUUGUUUGAAGAGGUGGGGAAGAAAGAGGAGUUGAAUAUUACUUGGUCGGUGCACCGGCCGGGGGCUAUUUUCGGCUUUUCGCCUUACAGCUUGGUUAACAUUGUAGCCAUGCCGAGUGUGUACGCUUCUAUAUGUAAGCAUGAGAAGAAACCUUUGAGAUUUCCUGGAAGCAAAGAGGCCUGGAAUUGUUACUCGGACGUUUCGGAUGGGGCUUUGAUCGCGGAGCAGCAGAUAUGGGCGGCGGUUGACCUGAAUGCGAAAAACGAAGCGUUUAAUGUGAACAAUGGGGAUGUUUUUAAGUGGAAGCAGUUUUGGACGGUGUUGGCUGAGCAGUUUGAGAUUGAGGAGUAUGGGUUUGAUGAGGAGGGUGGGGGGUUUAGUAGGUGGAGAUGAUGAAGGAGAAGGAGGAUGUGUGGGAGGAGAUAGUGAGGGAGAACCAGCUGGAGCCCACAAAGUUGGAGGAGAUAGGGCAGUGGUGGCUGAUGGAUUUGUUUUUCAGUGGGGAAGGUCUCAUGUCUAGCAUGAAUAAGAGUAAAGAGCAUGGGUUUUUGGGGUUCAGAAACUCCAAGAAGUCCUUUGUUUCAUGGAUUGAUAAAAACAAGGCUUUCAAGAUUGUGCCUUGA
Prunus mume (Japanese apricot) is the source of this 2424-nucleotide non-coding RNA. The record is from RefSeq and is a predicted model, not a curated record. Lineage: Eukaryota; Viridiplantae; Streptophyta; Magnoliopsida; Rosales; Rosaceae.